GCUGAGUGUGGUGGUGCAUGCCUAUAAUCCUAGCUACUCAGGAAGCUGAGGCAGGAGGAUCCCAAGUCCAAGGCUAGCCUGGGCAAUUUACUGAGAUCCUGUCUCAA
This 107-nucleotide small RNA is filed under the name Marmota monax (woodchuck). Lineage: Eukaryota; Metazoa; Chordata; Mammalia; Rodentia; Sciuridae. The record is from RNAcentral.